Molecule: ribosomal RNA, 447 nt
Filed under: uncultured bacterium
Lineage: Bacteria
Description: bacterial SSU rRNA
Rfam family: Bacterial small subunit ribosomal RNA
Source: RNAcentral
CCGAGAAUAUUCGACAAUGGGCGCAAGCCUGAUCCAGCCAUGCCGCGUGAGUGAAGAAGGCCUUCGGGUUGUAAAGCUCUUUUACCAGGGACGAUAAUGACGGUACCUGGAGAAUAAGCCCCGGCAAACUUCGUGCCAGCAGCCGCGGUAAUACGAAGGGGGCUAGCGUUGUUCGGAUUUACUGGGCGUAAAGGGCGCGUAGGCGGCAAUUCAAGUCAUCUGUGAAAUCUCCGGGCUUAACUCGGAACGGUCAGAUGAUACUGCUUUGCUAGAGUGCAGAAGGGGCAAUCGGAAUUCUUGGUGUAGCGGUGAAAUGCGUAGAUAUCAAGAGGAACACCUGAGGUGAAGACGGGUUGCUGGGCUGACACUGACGCUGAGGCGCGAAAGCCAGGGGAGCAAACGGGAUUAGAUACCCUUGUAGUCCCUGAGCGGGCUGGCAAGGCGCAU